CGUCAUGCGGACCGACGCAGCGCACCGAGGAGCAGAGGAAGACGCAGCGGCAGCAGCAGCAUCCCCGCUAAAGGCUUGACGUAGGGCAGCCCCGUCUCAACCAUCAACCUAGCACCAGCAGUGGCUUCCGUGAGCAUCCUCUGAAAACACGUGAUAAAAGAUAAGAUGGCCACCUCCUCAAACUUGGACGAAGACGAGAGCUUGAAAGGCUGUGAGGUCUUUGUGCAGAGGCAUAACAUCCAGCAGAUCCUCAAAGAGUGCAUUGUGAACCUGUGCAUCGCCAAACCCGAGCGGCCUAUGAAGUUCCUUCGGGAGCACUUUGAAAAGCUGGAGAAGG
Long non-coding RNA from Gadus morhua (Atlantic cod), 337 nucleotides. RefSeq lists it as uncharacterized. The record is from RefSeq and is a predicted model, not a curated record. Lineage: Eukaryota; Metazoa; Chordata; Actinopteri; Gadiformes; Gadidae. The transcript has 2 exons.